GUGAGCACUAGAAAAAGCUGAAAAACUUUUGCAUUGCAUCGAAAAGUAUUGUUUGCCGAUGGAUGCCUGGCGAGGAGGUGUUGAAAACGCAAAAGAGCUUAUGAAACAUACAACAGAUGUGCGCUUUUGUGUUCGCCUUUUUCCUUUAAAUUGAGUCAACAUUUUAUAUGUUUAAGACAUUAAACGGAUUAAGAAGU
Long non-coding RNA from Stomoxys calcitrans (stable fly), 197 nucleotides. RefSeq lists it as uncharacterized. The record is from RefSeq and is a predicted model, not a curated record. The transcript is spliced from 2 exons. NCBI's taxonomy places the organism in Eukaryota, Metazoa, Arthropoda, Insecta, Diptera, Muscidae.